This 230-nucleotide ribosomal RNA is filed under the name uncultured bacterium. RNAcentral's name for it is "partial 16S ribosomal RNA". It matches the Rfam family "Bacterial small subunit ribosomal RNA", at positions 561 to 790 of the family's 1533-position model. The record is from RNAcentral.
UAAAGCGUGCGCAGGCGGUUAUGUAAGACAGAUGUGAAAUCCCCGGGCUCAACCUGGGAACUGCAUUAGUGACUGCAUAGCUGGAGUACGGCAGAGGGGGAUGGAAUUCCGCGUGUAGCAGUGAAAUGCGUAGAUAUGCGGAGGAACACCGAUGGCGAAGGCAAUCCCCUGGGCCUGUACUGACGCUCAUGCACGAAAGCGUGGGGAGCAAACAGGAUUAGAUCCCCUGU